GUACACGCUGUGACUAGCAUAUCAAUAAGCGGAGGAAAAGAAACUAACAAGGAUUCCCCUAGUAACGGCGAGUGAAGCGGGAAGAGCUCAAAUUUGAAAUCUUAAAGGGUUUCCCUUUACGAAUUGUAGUUUAAAGAAGUGUUUUCUGUUGAGGUUUUGGUAAAAGUUCUUUGGAAUAGGACAUCAUAGAGGGUGAGAAUCCCGUAUUUGACCUUUACUUUCAACUUUGUGAUACACUUUCAAAGAGUCGGAUUGUUUGGGAAUGCAGUCCAAAUGGGUGGUAAAUUUCAUCUAAAGCUAAAUAUUGGCGAGAGACCGAUAGCGAACAAGUACCGUGAGGGAAAGAUGAAAAGAACUUUGAAAAGAGAGUUAAACAGUACGUGAAAUUGUCAAAAGGGAAGCGUUUGACACCAGUGUUGUUUUUCUGAAAAUCAAUUAAAGAACUGUUUAUGCUAAGCUGUUUAGACUUUAUCAGCUAAUCUGUUUAGUUUUGAGCUUUUCUUUAAUGCACUUUUCAGUUAACAAGUCAACAUCAAUUUCUUUUGCUGUAAAAAAGCUUGAGGAAGGUGGCUUGAGAUUCGUCUUAAGUGUUUAUAGCCUCUUGCCUAUGCAGUCGGAGAGAUUGAGGUCUGCAGCGUAGAUCCUUCGGGGCUAAAUGCAUUUGUGCUAAGUUAUAGCAUUUUAUAGACAACUUGUUGACUAUGAUUUGUCUUGUAGCUUACUCGCUUAUGUUAUUUUACCUACGCUUAGGAUGUUGAUAUGCAUGACUGAUAU
RNAcentral lists this ribosomal RNA (774 nucleotides) under uncultured Neocallimastigales. Its description in RNAcentral is "partial large subunit ribosomal RNA". It matches the Rfam family "Eukaryotic large subunit ribosomal RNA", at positions 22 to 640 of the family's 3401-position model. Lineage: Eukaryota; Fungi; Neocallimastigomycota; Neocallimastigomycetes; Neocallimastigales. The record is from RNAcentral.